This 253-nucleotide ribosomal RNA is filed under the name uncultured bacterium. Its description in RNAcentral is "partial 16S ribosomal RNA". It matches the Rfam family "Bacterial small subunit ribosomal RNA", at positions 524 to 776 of the family's 1533-position model. The record is from RNAcentral.
UACGUAGGGUGCGAGCGUUAAUCGGAAUUACUGGGCGUAAAGCGUGCGCAGGCGGCUGUGCAAGACAGGUGUGAAAUCCCCGGGCUUAACCUGGGAACUGCACUUGUGACUGCAUGGCUGGAGUACGGCAGAGGGGGAUGGAAUUCCGCGUGUAGCAGUGAAAUGCGUAGAUAUGCGGAGGAACACCGAUGGCGAAGGCAAUCCCCUGGGCCUGUACUGACGCUCAUGCACGAAAGCGUGGGGAGCAAACGGG